This 401-nucleotide ribosomal RNA is filed under the name uncultured bacterium. RNAcentral describes it as "partial 16S ribosomal RNA". It matches the Rfam family "Bacterial small subunit ribosomal RNA", at positions 338 to 755 of the family's 1533-position model. The record is from RNAcentral.
CCUACGGGCGGCAGCAGUGGGGGAUAUUGCACAAUGGGGGGAACCCUGAUGCAGCGACGCCGCGUGGGUGAAGGAGGGUUUCGGCGCGUAAAGCCCUAUCGGCAGGGAAGAAGAAGGACGGUACCGGACGAAGAAGCCCCGGCUAACUACGUGCCAGCAGCCGCGGUAAGACGGAGGGGGCAAGCGUUAUCCGGAUUUACUGGGUGGAAAGGGGGCGCAGACGGCAGCGCAAGCCAGGAGUGAAAGCCCGGGGCCCAACCCCGGGACUGCUCUUGGAACUGCGCGGCUGGAGUGCAGGAUGGGCAGGCGGAAUUCCUGUUGUAGCGGUGCAAUGCGUCGAUCUCAGGAGGAACCCCGGUGGCGACGGCGGCCUGCUGGACUGCGACUGACGUUGAGGCCCG